Molecule: ribosomal RNA, 484 nt
Filed under: uncultured bacterium
Lineage: Bacteria
Description: partial 16S ribosomal RNA
Rfam family: Bacterial small subunit ribosomal RNA
Source: RNAcentral
AUUGAACGCUGGCGGCAUGCUUUACACAUGCAAGUCGAACGGCAGCGCGGGCUUCGGCCUGGCGGCGAGUGGCGAACGGGUGAGUAAUACAUCGGAACGUGCCCAGUAGUGGGGGAUAGCUCGGCGAAAGCCGGAUUAAUACCGCAUACGACCUGAGGGUGAAAGCGGGGGAUCUUCGGACCUCGCGCUAUUGGAGCGGCCGAUGGCAGAUUAGCUAGUUGGUGGGGUAAAGGCCUACCAAGGCGACGAUCUGUAGCUGGUCUGAGAGGACGACCAGCCACACUGGGACUGAGACACGGCCCAGCCUCCUACGGGAGGCAGCAGUGGGGAAUUUUGGACAAAGGGCGAAAGCCUGAUCCAGCAAUGCCGCGUGUGUGAUGAAGGCCUUCGGGUUGUAAAGCACUUUUGGCGGGAACGAAAAGGACUGUGCCAAUACCACGGUUCGAUGACGGUACCCGCAGAAUAAGCACCGGCUAACUACGUG